RNAcentral lists this ribosomal RNA (481 nucleotides) under uncultured bacterium. RNAcentral describes it as "partial 16S ribosomal RNA". It matches the Rfam family "Bacterial small subunit ribosomal RNA", at positions 30 to 507 of the family's 1533-position model. The record is from RNAcentral.
UUGCACGCUGGCGGCAUGCUCUACACAUGCAAGUCGCACGGUAACAGGCCGCAAGGUGCUGACGAGUGGCGAACGGGUGAGUAAUGCAUCGGAACGUGCCCAGUCGUGGGGGAUAACUACUCGAAAGAGUAGCUAAUACCGCAUACGAUCUAUGGAUGAAAGCGGGGGACCGUAAGGCCUCGCGCGAUUGGAGCGGCCGAUGUCAGAUUAGGUAGUUGGUGGGGUAAAGGCUCACCAAGCCAACGAUCUGUAGCUGGUCUGAGAGGACGACCAGCCACACUGGGACUGAGACACGGCCCAGACUCCUACGGGAGGCAGCAGUGGGGAAUUUUGGACAAUGGGCGCAAGCCUGAUCCAGCAAUGCCGCGUGCAGGAAGAAGGCCUUCGGGUUGUAAACUGCUUUUGUACGGAACGAAACGGCUCUGGUUAAUACCCGGGGCUAAUGACGGUACCGUAAGAAUAAGCACCGGCUAACUACGUG